AUAAGUCAUUAAUCACCCUAGGUUUCUUCUGAAGCCAGUGGUGAGAAAUGACACCUUCAGAGACCAAUUCAUCUUAGAUACAUAU
Balearica pavonina (black crowned-crane) is the source of this 85-nucleotide small nucleolar RNA. It matches the Rfam family "Small nucleolar RNA ACA64". NCBI's taxonomy places the organism in Eukaryota, Metazoa, Chordata, Aves, Gruiformes, Gruidae. The record is from Rfam.